Molecule: transfer RNA, 77 nt
Filed under: Marinobacter nauticus VT8
Lineage: Bacteria; Pseudomonadati; Pseudomonadota; Gammaproteobacteria; Pseudomonadales; Marinobacteraceae
Description: tRNA-Arg (CCG) (tRNA-Arg-CCG-2-1)
Rfam family: tRNA
About the family: Transfer RNA (tRNA) molecules are approximately 80 nucleotides in length. Their secondary structure includes four short double-helical elements and three loops (D, anti-codon, and T loops).
Source: RNAcentral
GCGGGCAUAUAAAUAGAUAUGGGAGCGUUGCCCUCCGGAGGCAAAGGUCAUAGGUUCGAAUCCUAUCGGGCGCGCCA